RNAcentral lists this ribosomal RNA (856 nucleotides) under Escherichia coli. RNAcentral describes it as "partial 23S ribosomal RNA". It matches the Rfam family "Bacterial large subunit ribosomal RNA", at positions 604 to 1459 of the family's 2925-position model. The record is from RNAcentral. Lineage: Bacteria; Pseudomonadati; Pseudomonadota; Gammaproteobacteria; Enterobacterales; Enterobacteriaceae.
CCUUUUGUAUAAUGGGUCAGCGACUUAUAUUCUGUAGCAAGGUUAACCGAAUAGGGGAGCCGAAGGGAAACCGAGUCUUAACUGGGCGUUAAGUUGCAGGGUAUAGACCCGAAACCCGGUGAUCUAGCCAUGGGCAGGUUGAAGGUUGGGUAACACUAACUGGAGGACCGAACCGACUAAUGUUGAAAAAUUAGCGGAUGACUUGUGGCUGGGGGUGAAAGGCCAAUCAAACCGGGAGAUAGCUGGUUCUCCCCGAAAGCUAUUUAGGUAGCGCCUCGUGAAUUCAUCUCCGGGGGUAGAGCACUGUUUCGGCAAGGGGGUCAUCCCGACUUACCAACCCGAUGCAAACUGCGAAUACCGGAGAAUGUUAUCACGGGAGACACACGGCGGGUGCUAACGUCCGUCGUGAAGAGGGAAACAACCCAGACCGCCAGCUAAGGUCCCAAAGUCAUGGUUAAGUGGGAAACGAUGUGGGAAGGCCCAGACAGCCAGGAUGUUGGCUUAGAAGCAGCCAUCAUUUAAAGAAAGCGUAAUAGCUCACUGGUCGAGUCGGCCUGCGCGGAAGAUGUAACGGGGCUAAACCAUGCACCGAAGCUGCGGCAGCGACGCUGAUGCGUUGUUGGGUAGGGGAGCGUUCUGUAAGCCUGUGAAGGUGUACUGUGAGGUAUGCUGGAGGUAUCAGAAGUGCGAAUGCUGACAUAAGUAACGAUAAAGCGGGUGAAAAGCCCGCUCGCCGGAAGACCAAGGGUUCCUGUCCAACGUUAAUCGGGGCAGGGUGAGUCGACCCCUAAGGCGAGGCCGAAAGGCGUAGUCGAUGGGAAACAGGUUAAUAUUCCUGUACUUGGUGUUACUGCGA